AGUGAACGCUGGCGGCGUGCUUAACACAUGCAAGUCGAACGAGAACGGAUUAUAGCUUGCUAUAAUUGUCAGCUAAGUGGCGCACGGGUGAGUAAUGUAUAGGUAAUAUGCCUCUUACUAAGGGAUAACAAAUGGAAACGUUUGCUAAUACCUUAUACUCCUUAUUAACAGAAGUUAAUAAGGGAAAGAUUUAUUGGUAAGAGAUUAGCCUGUAUUGUAUCAGUUAGUUGGUGGGGUAAUGGCUUACCAAGACUAUGACACAUAACUGGUUUGAGAGGAUGAUCAGUCACACUGGAACUGAGACACGGUCCAGACUCCGACGGGGGGCAGCAGUGGGGAAUAUUGCACAAUGGACGAAAGUCUGAUGCAGCAACGCCGCGUGGAGGAUGACACAUUUCGGUGCGUAAACUCCUUUUAUAUGAGAAGAUAAUGACGGUAUUAUAUGAAUAAGCACCGGCUAACUCCGUGCCAGCCGCCGCGGUAA
This 484-nucleotide ribosomal RNA is filed under the name uncultured bacterium. Its description in RNAcentral is "partial 16S ribosomal RNA". It matches the Rfam family "Bacterial small subunit ribosomal RNA", at positions 29 to 523 of the family's 1533-position model. The record is from RNAcentral.